Non-coding RNA from Paramuricea clavata, 3777 nucleotides. Lineage: Eukaryota; Metazoa; Cnidaria; Anthozoa; Malacalcyonacea; Plexauridae. The record is from the annotation of a GenBank genome assembly.
GCUGAAUAUAAUUUGCGCCAAGUGGAAGUUUCAAAGUUUCAACCAAUUACCAUGCUUAGAAUAUAUCACGUGUUGUAGUAAUUCAAUCUUUUCACAUCAGCGCGCUAAGUUCGAUCUUUUGGGAGCAAACAUUCAAACAGGAAAGAUUUAUAUUCAAAUUUUCUGCUUAUAAAGAUCGAAAGACUUAAUAGAACACAAGGAGAUUGUUUUCAAAGGUAUGUCUCUUGUGUAUUUACUUAUUUGUAUGCGGGUAGUUACUUGACAGACUGUGUAGUUAUAUUUUUAAAUCGAAGGCCUGUAUUUUAUAGUCGCUUUGUGCCGAUUUUACGAAGGCAUCUAAACGUUCAGUUGUAAAUUUCGGUUUACAUAACAGUCUCUACUUAUCUGUAUUGCUAAGAAAAUCGUAUACGGCUUAUUUCUGUGAUAUACAUAUGUGUUGUUCUGUUAAGUAUUUGCUAUGUUGACACUUGACAUGUAUACUUUUAUAAUAAUGUGAUUUGUUUGAAAUAUGCAUAAUUACACUAUUGACGAAGGGCCUUCAUAAAUUUCGAAACGUCGACUCGAGUUGUUUUUUAAGGUAGUAUUUUUACAUUGGUACUACCCACACUUUUAAAGAGUAUUAGUAUAUAUUCACAUUAAUAGCAUGUAGACAGCCUUUCCCAAUGUGUGGCUUUAUCAGUCAGCCACUCAGCCUAAAACAUGUGCAAGGGGCCGCUUAUAUAAAGGCAAGCCAGUCCAGGUAACUAACCUGGUUAUAGCCCGCUUUCACUGGAUGAAUGUCUGUUUACAUGAGCCUCUUUAGAUGAACAUGCUUGCCAAAACAAAUCACCCAGACUGAGUUGUAUAAUUUCCAAUAAAAUAAAUUGACAUACUUUUGCACACAGUUUUGAAAUGUAACUUACAAAAAAAAUCACAGAGAUCUUUUAAUCCAUUGAGCCACAAUGCGCCCCAGUAUGCCCUACUUAUUUUUUUUGCUUGCUUAACGCCAGACGCUUUUACUCCUCAGUAGGGAAGCUCUGCAGCUUAAUGGGUUAACCAAAAAAUCUGACAAUGUCUCUAGUUAACCCAUUGAGCCGCAAUGUGCCCUAGUGCGACCGACUUAUUUUAUUUACUUGUCUACCGCCAGCAGUGGUGUAACUUUACUUUUUUGACCACUUGCCCUCAGGGCAAGUUGGUCAUAAAGAUUAGUUGCUCUGAAUAAAUUCACUUGCCAUCAGACAAUGGCUGCUUGGGGUACUUAAGUAGGGGGUAUAAAUUAACCCAUUAAGCGCCAGCGCUCUCCCCUUGACGAGUAAAAUCGUCUGGCGUUAGACAGAGUAAAAUGCUAAAGUAGGGUGCAUCAGGGUGCAAUGCGACUCAAUGGGUUAACUAGACACAUGGGCAGAUAGGCCAGUUAACCCAUUAAGCGCCAGCGCUCUCCCCUUGACGAGUAAAAUCGUCUGGCGUUAGACAGAGUAACAUACUAAAGUAGGGUGCAUCAGGGUGCAAUGCGACUCAAUGGGUUAAGGGGACAACAUGUCAACCUGUUCUCCCACUGCGCUAUAUGGCUAUGUUAUACUGCCUCAGAUAUAGCUUUGAUGCACAAAAAAUGAAAUUUGAACCAAGUCCAUGCACUAUAAAACAAAAUAUAUCUGACAAUGAAUAGUGGCAAGGCAACUUGCCCAAUCGGCAGCAAGAUAAAGUGUUUACUUGCCCAUCAUGAUAUUCACUUGCCCCAGGCAAGUGUUAAGUUACACCUCUGGCCAAAUGAUUUUACUCGUCAAUGGGGAAACUCCAACUCUACAGCUUAAUGGGUUAAUAUUCAAAUUGAUUGGGAAAUGUCAUUUAGAAGAUUACAUUAUGCCUAAACAAAGCAUGAAUACUGUGCCAAAUCCCGGGUCAUUGUAUAUAGUUUAUAUGGAAAAUCUUAGUUUGGCAUUAGCAACAUUUUGGGUCAAUUGUGGCAGUAUCUUAAGUUUAUUUAUUUAGCUUUGCCAACUAGGUGUCACCACAACAGCAUGUGCCAAUUACUGUUGGCUCUUUUACAUCACCCACCCUGUCAACUUUCCCUGUAGGAGGAAACCGGGGUACCUGGAGAAAACCCAUGACUUUCGACAGAGUGUUGACUUUUACUCUUCACAUGAGGACUGGGUUUGAGUCGCAUUGAGAAAGUUCUCACUGAGGCUUGAACCUGCAGCCUUAGAGGUGAAUGGCAAGUGCAUAUAACAGCUUUGCCACCGAAGCCCCCAUCUUCCUAAAAAAGUCCAGCUCAGUUCUAUAUUAUAAAGUAAAACACAAGUUGAAAUAUAUAGAAUAUUAUAACAAAGUCUGGAUCUCACCAAAACUGGGCCAGCUCAGGUACACAGGUGCCAUCACCUCAUAUAAACAGCCACUAAAUCUACCUUGCUGGAUUAUAUAGAAUGAUAUUUUUCAAUUAGGAAUUUUGGAAAAAACAGUUGUUAUGCACCAGUAUUUUAAACAGUCUUUUACCAGUGAGAAUAGUUGUAUUGGAUGCAGAUGUUACUUCAAUUGCAUGCUAGCCUUACAUUAAACAUGUCAAGUGAAAGCAUUUGAAUUUUGUAUUUCUUGCUUUGUACACUAACCAAAAAUAGGAAAUUCAUUGUCAAUCAAUCAAUAAUUUGCUACCAUUAUAUAUCAACCUUAAUAUGUAUUUUUUUCUUAAUAGAGAUUGUAUUUAAUAUGGAUUCAUUAUAUAUCCUGAUCCUGAAUGAAAAGUUAUUAAUAAAAGCUUCCCAGCAGAAGGCAAGUUGUCUAAACAAGUGGCAAUAUAUAUAAUCAUUAAUGGCAUUUUAAGUACUGCAUAGUCUAUUUGGAAAAUGUUAUUCUUUUGCUGGAGAGUAUGUUUAUGCAGGAUUAACAAACCUGACAAGGAAUGGAGUUGCUGACUUGUGGUAUGAAGCUUGUACUUUUAAAUUUUAACUAGUGGACUUGUAUGACAUGCUUGAUUGAGCAGUGACAACACUACAUGCAGUACAGGUAUAUUAUACUAACUUGUAAAUAUUCUACAUUGAAGAGAAUUAUGUUAACCUUUUAUGUGGCAAUGGGCUCUACCUUAUUAUUUUUUCUGUCUAAUGCCAGACAAUUUUACUCAUGAAGGAGAGAGUGUUGCCACUCAAUGGGUUAAAGCCAAAUUUCUGUAGAUGGAAAUUUUGAACAAUAACUAUGUAAUAAGUACUGUGCCGGGAAUGGAACCUGUUGCCCUGUGAUUCAGAACAGUUCCUUAACAGCCGAGAGUCCAUCAAGCCCUGAGAGUCCAAGCGCCAAGAAUCCAUCAAGCUAACCAAGAGUUCAUUUAUACAAUACUAGUGUCAUCCCAGUUUAUUUAAUAUACUACCAGUGACACCACCAUCAUGGUAUAAUUAUACAGAAAGUUACAUCUUGGCAAAAGGACUCUUUAGGUCAGAGGGCUGCAGUAGAAUUGCAGGGCUGCAGGUUCAAUUCAUGCUGGCAGGCUUGUAAUUGUAUUAAAACUGUCUGUAUACCAGUACCAGCGUGGGUAGUACCAAUGUGAAAUUGCUGUGCUGAGUGGUUAUAUUACUACCUGAAAAAAAAAGCAAACAGAAACUGAAUGUUUUGAGCAAAGACCCUUCGCUCGAAAUGUUGAGUUUCUGCUUGUUUUUUUUUUGAGGUAGUAAUAUAACCACUCAACACAGCAAUUGUAAUUGUAUUCCUUUGCAAUUGCUCUCACAUAGUUCUAAGGUACCUGUAGCUCUAGUUUAUUUAAUUGUCUUAUUAUAUUGUAAUGAUAUAUUUUUUAUUAAAUUCCAUGUAUAUAAU